Molecule: ribosomal RNA, 228 nt
Filed under: uncultured bacterium
Lineage: Bacteria
Description: partial 16S ribosomal RNA
Rfam family: Bacterial small subunit ribosomal RNA
Source: RNAcentral
UGGGUGACCUGCCCUCGGCUCUGGGAUAAGCCUGGGAAACUGGGUCUAAUACUGGAUAUUCACUUCCUAUCGCAUGGUGGGUGGUGGAAAGUUUUUUCGGCUGGGGAUGGGCCCGCGGCCUAUCAGCUUGUUGGUGGGGUGAUGGCCUACCAAGGCGACGACGGGUAGCCGGCCUGAGAGGGCGUCCGGCCACACUGGGACUGAGACACGGCCCAGACUCCUACGGGA